GACGAACGCUGGCGGCGUGCUUAACACAUGCAAGUCGAACGGAAAGGCCCUGCUUUUGUGGGGUGCUCGAGUGGCGAACGGGUGAGUAACACGUGAGUAACCUGCCCUUGACUUUGGGAUAACUUCAGGAAACUGGGGCUAAUACCGGAUAGGAGCUCCUGCUGCAUGGUGGGGGUUGGAAAGUUUCGGCGGUUGGGGAUGGACUCGCGGCUUACCAGCUUGUUGGUGGGGUAGUGGCUUACCAAGGCUUUGACGGGUAGCCGGCCUGAGAGGGUGACCGGCCACAUUGGGACUGAGAGACGGACCAGAAUCCUACGGGAGGCAGCGGGGGGGAAUAUUGCACAGUGGGCGGAAGCCUGAUGCAGCAACGCCGCGUGCGGGAUGACGGCCUUCGGGUUGUAAACCGCUUUCGCCUGUGACGAAGCGUGAGUGACGGUAAUGGGUAAAGAAGCACCGGCUAACUACGUG
Molecule: ribosomal RNA, 468 nt
Filed under: uncultured bacterium
Lineage: Bacteria
Description: partial 16S ribosomal RNA
Rfam family: Bacterial small subunit ribosomal RNA
Source: RNAcentral